Podarcis lilfordi (Lilford's wall lizard) is the source of this 76-nucleotide non-coding RNA. NCBI's taxonomy places the organism in Eukaryota, Metazoa, Chordata, Lepidosauria, Squamata, Lacertidae. The record is from the annotation of a GenBank genome assembly.
ACAAAUCUCAGCUCAGUUGGUGGAACAUGAGACUCUCAAUCCCAGGGUCAUGAGUUCGAGCCCCAGGUUGGGUGAA